UACGAAGGGGGCUAGCGUUGCUCGGAUUGACUGGGCGUAAAGGGCGCGUAGGCGGUUUGCAUAGUCAGACGUGAAAUUCCCGGGCUUAACCUGGGGGCUGCAUUUGAUACGUGUUGUCUAGAGUGAGGAAGAGGGUUGUGGAAUUCCCAGUGUAGAGGUGAAAUUCGUAGAUAUUGGGAAGAACACCGGUGGCGAAGGCGGCAACCUGGUCCUUGACUGACGCUGAGGCGCGAAAGCGUGGGGAGCAAACAGG
This 253-nucleotide ribosomal RNA is filed under the name uncultured bacterium. RNAcentral's name for it is "partial 16S ribosomal RNA". It matches the Rfam family "Bacterial small subunit ribosomal RNA", at positions 524 to 776 of the family's 1533-position model. The record is from RNAcentral.